RNA transcript from Siniperca chuatsi (mandarin fish), 4100 nucleotides. It is a transcript of the gene named protein phosphatase 1D-like, with no coding region annotated. The transcript is spliced from 9 exons. The record is from RefSeq and is a predicted model, not a curated record. Lineage: Eukaryota; Metazoa; Chordata; Actinopteri; Centrarchiformes; Sinipercidae.
UAGUGGAUAGGCGGAAAAACUGUACGUCAUUACGUACAGCGGGACGUCUAGGAGAAGAUAAACAAAAAGGAAGGAAGCCUUCGGCCAUACAAUCGCGGCAAAAUCGGUUCAAAAAUUUAGCUUACAAGCUACAGUUAGCAACUACAUGUACCCUUUUAUUGCUUAGAUAAUUAACAUUGGGCGUUCACAAUCAUGGACGAGGCAAUAGUAUUUCGUAUGAGUGCAUUUUCCGAGCAAGGAGGGAGGAAAUACAUGGAGGAUGUUGUCGAGAUAAGAAUCGAGUACGAGCCGACGCCGUCGCCAGUCGAAGAUUAUCCAAAGUCGCAGAGACAUGGAGGACAGGGAAAAGCCGAGAAUGAACCUACCAAACAGACUGAAAAUGAGACACACGAUCAUAACAUUGCUGCAGAAUCAGGCCCAGCUUCUGCAGUGUGGGUAGAAAGUAUAUCAAAUGAGGACAGUGGCAACAACAGUGCACCGGUAUUAAACGAAAAAGUCGCAGAGCACGUAGUCGACACUCGGAAGUCUGUGGCGUUUUUCGCUGUUUUUGACGGCCACGGGGGGCGAGAAGCAGCACAUUUCGCAAGAGAGAAUCUGUGGGAUUUGCUGAAAAGACAGCGGGGGUUUUGGUCUAAGGAUCAUAGUGAAGUGUGUGCUGCCCUUCGGAAAGGCUUCAUCGCCUGUCACCAUGCAAUGUGGAAGGAGCUACCGGAGUGGCCAAAGACUAUUACUGGCCUGCCAAGUACAUCAGGCACCACGGCCAGCGUAAUUGUGAUCCGUGGAGUUCACAUGUAUGUUGCCCAUGUAGGGGAUUCAGCAGUAGUGGUUGGAGUAAAAGAAAAUGACUCUGAUAUUACGCUCCAGGCACUUGAAGUAACACAAGACCAUAAACCUGAACUUCCUAAAGAAAAAGAAAGGAUUGAACGACUGGGUGGCAGUGUAAUGAAGAAAUCUGGGGUGAACCGUGUUGUGUGGAAGAGGCCCAGACUGACCCAUAACGGCCCAGUGAGGAGGAGUACAGUCAUUGACCAGAUCCCCUUCCUGGCUGUGGCCCGAUCCCUUGGUGAUCUGUGGAGCUACGAUUUCUACAGUGGGGAGUUUGUGGUUUCUCCAGAGCCUGAUACCACCGUGAUGACCCUUGACCCCAAACGGCAUCGCUACAUCAUCCUCGGCAGUGAUGGACUAUGGAAUAUGAUGCCACCCAAGAAUGCUGUUAAUAUGUGUUAUAGCCACGACAAAAUGGUGGGACCGAAGGGAAUGUCUUGCGCCCGCCGGUUGGGAUGCACAGCCCUACUGUUUUGGAAAGAACGCAUGCUCCGUGCAGACAACACAACAGUUAUUGUCUUAGCCCUGCAGGAGCACGGAGGCCCUCCUAUCCCUAUGCAUCGAGAUGAGAUUGUUGUUGACAUGGCUACAGGAAUUGACCAUGUUCCAUACCCAGGAACUACUUAUAACACAUGUCAGGUCCCAAAGGCGGAGCAUGAGGAUGACAUGUUUUAUGAAGAAGAUGAGAUAUAUGGAGAAGAACAUGAGGGAUGGCCAUGCCUGGAGUGGUAGUGAGCUGCUCCCAAGCAGAGAGGACUAACCAACCACCCAUGAAAUAUCUGAAGACUAGAUAUGUACUAGGAGAGGGAUUUUCCUUGGAAGGAGAAGAGUGAUGCAGUGAAUGCUUCCUCCCCAUUCAAAGACAGUUCCACAACUCUGGAGCAGGCAUUUGGGCUGUAUGAAGCAGCUUUCUGUGCCACUGCACAGCUCUUACCUGAUGUCAUCUCUGUGAGUGCCACACUGCCCCCCUCAGAUGGUUCUGUGAAUGUUUUCGAAACGCAAGACUCGACAACCCAAAUGGACUGUGCUACUUCUGCUCCUCCGUUAAAAAGGUCUCGCCGUUCUCCGCACAUCCCCCCUGAACUUAGAGGUCCUCACCGUCGGCUUGGCAGGUCCUCCAACAAAAGUGUCCUCCAGAAGACGCCUCAUAGCAAUGUACAAAAUGAACAACCGCGUCAAACUCGUGCUCAAAAGAGAGAAAUAAGCUCCACUGAGGAACGCAGUAUCCUACCACAGCACCGCAACUCUGCCUUGUGUGUGUGCUGAAUUUUGUCUCAGAAACAGUGUUUUUGCUCUGAGACUAGGAUAAUCUGCAUUGUGUCAACUUUGCUUAUGUUUCAAUGUUUCAGGUGUGCCACAGGACAAUUCCUAGAUGUAUACUUUUUAUACAGAGUUUUUGUUUUUGUAAAUAUGUGAGAAAUUUGAGAUUAUAAAUGUGUUGCUGUUUUGACCUUCAUGCUCUUCUUCCUGCCCGCUCCUUUAAAUUUUAGUGUUCAUGGAAAUUUUAGAUCUGUUCAAUCUACACAAUCUAUUUUCAUACUUAUUAGUAUGUAUAGUAUAUCCGAAAUAAGUAUUUUGAAGAAGAUAGAUCACUACAGUCUGAGAUAACAUGAGUUCACUAAAAGUGUGACACAUGCAAUCUUCCAGUUGUAAUAUUUAUCAAAUUAAUUAACUAUUUUAGAUGUUUUGACUUGGAUGCUUACAUGCCAGUUUUUCCUUGAUUGGGGUUAAUAUUUCAGACCAAUUGUCUGGAAUCUUUCCUCUUAGAUGAAAUGUGUUACUAUGUCAGAGGUUUAUUUUAUUGUUUAAUGGGGUUGGGGGGUAUUGAUGGGUAGUUUUCAUCUCAUGUUGUUGAAUUCUGUGUUUCAACUUCUGAGUGUAUAUCGUUCAGUUGCAGUAGUUGCCCCUGAUAGUGGUAAUACUGCAUGGUGCAAAAUAAUGGGAAAAAAUUGACAAGCAAUGGUCUGAGGUAAUUAUGAGGGUAUUGAUUUUAAAUCUAUAUUAUUUGUUUUGUGUCUUUACCAGUGGCUAAUUUUGUACGGAUCACAAUUGCUUCUCAGCUAAUUGGUGCAUCUUAUGCAUAGCUUGUGAGGGGGUGUUAAAAGGGUCAGUUCACCCAAAUCAGAAAAACAUAAAACAUAUUCCCUCACUUACCCUUGUGGUAUCCAUCCAUGUGUGUUCUAGUGAACUGACCCUUUUGAUUGUACUUUGCUGGACAAUUUUUAUUUGGUGGAGAGUCAUAUCGAUCUAUUCCAAGCAUCUCCAUGAAUGAUUAGGCCAAUUAAAUUACUGUUGUAUGUUAUUUUUUAAACCUUGGUCCUAUCUAGAAGUAGAUUUGUUUAAAUGGUACAAUCAGAGGUACACGUUGUUGGGUAUUGGUACUGUAUUGGGUGCUGAUGUAAAAGCCAAGAUCAAUACCUGUGCCUCUCUGGAAGGUGGUAUGAAGUCUGCUUUGCCCUUGAUUUUUGUUUGUAGAACAAUUUUAAAGGUCCACUAGGCACUAACACCGUUUCAAAAGAUCUUCCUCUCUGAUCUCAUAUAUUUUACCCUUGUGUAUGGUUUGCAUCCAUAACUUGUGUUUUAAUCUGCACAUAAAACACCUCAUGGUACUGUACAUAUGUCAAAUACAGGAAGUGCCCGAUUCAUGGUAUAUAGUAAAUAACAAAGUAAUCAAAGCUCUAACUUGUGUUAAUAUGGCAGCUCAGUUACUGUUCUAGCCGAUUUGUUUGCCCUUUUUUUUUUUACAUAAAGUGUCAUGUUUGCCUUAGCACAAACAAGUCAGAGGUGCUUUUCACAUAUGUGGGACUCAAACAGGUGAGAAUCUCUAGGAUAUGUCAAUAAUAAGUAUGGCUGUGGCCCAGCCUCAACCAUUCAUCAUGUACCUUCAGUUCUACACCAGUGUUAUUUUACCAUUCACACUGCAGCAUACUAAACCUGCUCCUGAACCUGGUUGAUGUUUUUCAGUUAUAUUACAUAGCAGUUUGUUGGUUUUGUACAGUGUGUUAAUAUGCAAUAGAAGUUUGUACAGUACAUUAUUAUGCAAAGUAAUUGGGUUUUUCAGGACUCUGGCAUGCUCAGAUCUACUCCGUAUGUUGUGAAGUGUCCAGAGGUAAUGGAUGUUAAUGCGCAUGUGGUUUGUUUUUGACCAUUACAGUACUUGGGUCUGGUUUCAUAUCCACUGCAGCCAGUUUUCAGGACUAACUAUAUAAGUUACAUCCUUUGAAAGUGACUGGAUAUACAAUGUCUGUGUGUUGUAAUAAAGUCCUCAUUUUCCA